This 253-nucleotide ribosomal RNA is filed under the name Anaerobutyricum hallii. RNAcentral describes it as "partial 16S ribosomal RNA". It matches the Rfam family "Bacterial small subunit ribosomal RNA", at positions 524 to 776 of the family's 1533-position model. Lineage: Bacteria; Bacillati; Bacillota; Clostridia; Lachnospirales; Lachnospiraceae. The record is from RNAcentral.
UACGUAUGGAGCAAGCGUUAUCCGGAUUUACUGGGUGUAAAGGGUGCGUAGGUGGCAGUGCAAGUCAGAUGUGAAAGGCCGGGGCUCAACCCCGGAGCUGCAUUUGAAACUGCUCGGCUAGAGUACAGGAGAGGCAGGCGGAAUUCCUAGUGUAGCGGUGAAAUGCGUAGAUAUUAGGAGGAACACCAGUGGCGAAGGCGGCUUGCUGGACUGUUACUGACACUGAGGCACGAAAGCGUGGGGAGCAAACAGG